AUUGAACGCUGGCGGCAUGCCUAACACAUGCAAGUCGAACGGCAGCACAGCAGUAGCAAUACUGUGGGUGGCGAGUGGCGGACGGGUGAGGAAUGCGUCGGAAUCUGCCCAGUUGUGGGGGAUAACUAGCCGAAAGGUUAGCUAAUACCGCAUACGACCGAGAGGUGAAAGCGGGGGACCGUAAGGCCUCGCGCGAUUGGAUGAGCCGACGCCGGAUUAGCNGUUGGUGGGGUAAAGGCCUACCAAGGCGACGAUCCGUAGCUGGUCUGAGAGGAUGAUCAGCCACACUGGAACUGAGACACGGUCCAGACUCCUACGGGAGGCAGCAGUGGGGAAUAUUGGACAAUGGGCGCAAGCCUGA
Molecule: ribosomal RNA, 361 nt
Filed under: uncultured bacterium
Lineage: Bacteria
Description: bacterial SSU rRNA
Rfam family: Bacterial small subunit ribosomal RNA
Source: RNAcentral